RNAcentral lists this ribosomal RNA (1302 nucleotides) under Triticum aestivum (bread wheat). RNAcentral describes it as "partial small subunit ribosomal RNA". Lineage: Eukaryota; Viridiplantae; Streptophyta; Magnoliopsida; Poales; Poaceae. The record is from RNAcentral.
AUGGCGUGGAGCCUAGGAUCUCAGCGCCAAGAAAUCGUGUCACACAAUGGACACGCUCAUCAGCCACCACCUCAUUCGCGAUUGAUCAGCAAACUGGAGGAAUCUGAUGGAACAUUAUUAUGCCUAAUAGUAGCAACCUGCAAACUCGUCAGCAGUGCCUGCAAUUUCCAUGUGUUUCUAUUAAGUGAUGAUGGUUUUACCCACAAAGAAAUCACUGAGUUGGUGGCUGGCACAAUGGUGGUUGCUAUUUGCUACCCCUAUAUACUUCUGAAAUGGCACGAAUUGAUCUUCCCGAACUUGACACCCUUGAAGUCGUGGGUCGCAUGGCGUCCUAACGUCAGGAUUUUCAGAGACACAGGCGUUCUUGUGAUUAUUUCCUACCUGCUAUUGCUGGACAUCAAUUGGAGAUUCCUCUUACUUGCCAUCUUUCCUAUUAUGGCCAUUACUUUCAUAGGAGCACUGUACUUUAAGCUCAAUCGUUGUACUGGCGACAUUGGUCGUAAAGUUACUCCACAAUCUUCUAUGGUCGAUGAGAAUACCAUCAUCAAGACACCUAUGGAGCUGGAGAUCAUAGUGGUGGUGACGUUCGGGGCGCUGUUGGUGAUGGAUCAACUUGACGAUGGUGCAGCUAUGGGCUUCGCCAUCACACAGUUUCUCUUGUUCCUGAGCUCCACUGUGGCGGCAUUGACGCGCAUGAUGAUGAAGCUGCCUACUGAUCCUUUUCCGGGCAGUGCACCGGCGUCAGAGUUGCUCCACAAGACCUUGCUUCUACUUCUACUGGUGACGGCACACACAUUGGCCGCGGAGUGGCUGGGCGAGGAUGUGGUUCUGUUCUGCAUGCCGGAGGUUGUUCCGGUGCUCCUCUGGUACAGCCUUCACCUCGACCGCCCACACCACCACCCACUCAUCAGCGUCGACAAAAUGAAGCCACGCAUGAAGGGGCUCAUUGCCCUAUCUACACUGGUGGUAUUUCCUCUUUUCGCAUACAUGGUGAACUCCAUGGAUGUUUCUGGGCUCUCCUGGUGCACGAGGAUCAUGGUGUCAUGUGGCGUCUCAGGGGUUCUGACCUACUACCUUGUGUUCAUGCUACGCUACUGGCAUUGGCCGUGGAAAAGAGAAGCAGCAGCCGCUGGCCGCAGCAAGGACGAUGUGGUUUCCUCCGGCAUGCUCAAGUUUUUGGCAAAUGUUUUACUCAUAACGGCGGCAUUGCUGCUGCUGCUAAGGUAUAUGGUUUCUGUCCGGCUUGGUCUGCAACCAUCAUUGGUUGGUAUGCUACAUUUAAAUUCGCAACGACUAAGCUAG